UGGCAAUCCACACGGACAACCCGUAUCUUAUCUUUGCAAGUUCUUUCUUCCAUUAGCGCUCUCCAUGCACGCUUCGCUCUAGAUCCGAAUUCAGAGACCAUUGGGAUGCCUAAGGUCUCAUCUUCCGCCUGAAUUUUCAGUGUCAAGCAAUUGGAGGUCAGCCAUGUAGCAUAUGAAGAUAAUAGUCCCCUUCCACUAUCUCUCUUAAUCAUGGCAAUGUCCCUAUUUGCAGAGGUUUGUGUUGCAGGUGGGUCUUCUGACUCCAUUCAGUUGUCGAUUUGUUGUGGUGGAAUAGAAUCCAAACCAGGUCACUAUUAAAAUUUAAUAAUAUUUGCUUGUCUGUGCAUGGCAAUUCACAAGAGUUGCCUUGAAAUUUUUACUUUGGUAUAACUUCGAUGUGUUGAUAAAUGGAGUAAAUUUACUUCCUUUUAGGAGUUCUGUCUUGCAUUGGCGUUUGGCUGUAAAAUUUCUGUUUCAGUGAUUAACAUAGGCAACCCAGCGACGAUCAUCCUCGCUUCAAGAGUUGAAAAUAUCGAAGAGAGCAAGAGAACGUGCCAAACGACGGCUUGAGGUAAAGCUACCUGGUCAAAGUCAAAGUUCAAACUGUUGAUUUCUUGGUGGCCCGGGAGCCUCAUCCACACUGCAUGGUGAAAGAUUUUUUUGAAUUCUGCAACUUUAUUCCAUAACCCUGAUACAAGAUGUUCGUUUUACUUUUGAUUGCACAUGUUUUUUCUAUAAUUAGUUUGGACAUGUCGUUAUCAAAAGUUCAAGGCUUGUGAUUAUAAUUGCUCCUUUUAUCUCUAAGGAUUUACCAGACCACCGAGUUAAAAGAAAAAACAGAGAAAUUGCACUUUAGCUCUCUUAUCUAUGAGUGGUAAGUCAUCUGCUAAAUAUCCCCGGCAUGUAUGGAGUCUCCGUCUCCAAAAGAGGUUCCACUCUGAAUCUGAAGAAGAUUCUCACGACAAGGUAACGAAUUUUACUACAAAACUUCCAUGUGAGCUUGGAGCUACUUUUUCAUAGAAGAAGACAUCUGUGUGUGCGCUUGCUGAGCAAAGGACGCGCGUUUCUUUCUUCCUCUGGGUAUACGUGUAUUAGAUUAGCACAAAUUGGCUCUCGUGGCAAAAGAUAAUCUUUUUCUCAGGUGUGGGGGCAUCGGAAUGCAUAUUUAUUCUGCAAACAUUGAAUUUUUUUCUUUGCCAAUGAACUUUGAUCUUCGGGUUUUCCCUUGAUAUUAUCUCCAUAUUUUUGCUUGCUUACUCGAUUUUUCUCCCUUUUUCCUUUGUCAGUGAAUCUCAAUCCACGGGCUUGGAUUAGCUCAAACGCACUGCGUCUUAACGAUAUUCUCCAUCAAGUGUAGCUCAAUGUAGAGUGAAAAACAGAAGACCAAUUACAUACUUCAUCAUCCCCUUAGUGCCAUCUUUCUCCCAAGCAUACUUACGUAAAGCAGGGAACCAAGAGACCCGGCACCGUAGCUGAAUAAUAAGCAGAAUGCAAGCGCAGAGAUGUGCGUAGCAAGGUUUGCAAGCAAGUCAGCAUUAUCAAAAUGUGAUCCCUUUAACAUGCUUAAGCGUGACACAGAAGCCUUUUCGUCGGAGCUUUUGGAGCAGUUUAUGAUCACUCAUAAUCCCCGCUACUAAGUAUGAUUCCAUGCAGAAAGUCAUUGACAACAGAAGUCGCGUAGACCGAGUUUGCCUAUAAUUCUACGAAGACAAAAAAGUAGAUGCUGGUGAGAUCGUGAGCUGGAACACGCUUUGUUACGUGUUAAAGAUUCCUGUUAAGGUUAAGAAAAAAGUUUGUUUAGCUAUUCCUCUCGUUUUAUAUGUAAUUAAAUUUUUUUUUUGAAAAUAUAGACAAUCAAAAUCCUUUUUGCAGCUCGCACUAGGAAGACUAUAUGUUUAAGUAAAAUGGGGUAAAUCAUUCCACAUUUUGCAACCGGUGAGCUGUGUUCUUUUCCAUAUUUUCUAAUGUUUUGUCGAA
Long non-coding RNA from Syzygium oleosum, 1977 nucleotides. RefSeq lists it as uncharacterized. The record is from RefSeq and is a predicted model, not a curated record. NCBI's taxonomy places the organism in Eukaryota, Viridiplantae, Streptophyta, Magnoliopsida, Myrtales, Myrtaceae. The transcript is spliced from 2 exons.